UGUGUAGGCGGUCGUGUUAGUCUUUUGUUAAAGUUUUUGGGCUUAACCCAGAAAAUGCAGGGGAAACGGCACGACUUCGAGGACGCGAGAGGUAGAGGGAACUCAUGGUGUAGGGGUGAAAUCCGUUGAUAUCAUGGGGAACACCAAAUGCGAAGGCACUCUACUGGCGCGCUCCUGACGCUGAAACACGAAAGCGUGGGAAUCGAAG
Molecule: ribosomal RNA, 208 nt
Filed under: uncultured bacterium
Lineage: Bacteria
Description: partial 16S ribosomal RNA
Rfam family: Bacterial small subunit ribosomal RNA
Source: RNAcentral